This 5649-nucleotide long non-coding RNA is filed under the name Brassica napus (rape). RNAcentral's name for it is "long non-coding RNA (BNAP_LNC022164)". The record is from RNAcentral. Lineage: Eukaryota; Viridiplantae; Streptophyta; Magnoliopsida; Brassicales; Brassicaceae.
GCUCUAUCUAAGCAGAGGGCUAUGCUGGAGAACAUCCUCAGGGCCUGCGUUGGGCUUGCGCCAGAGAACAACAUGAUCUUGGAGUACAAGUGAAGGACAAUGAAGAAAAAGAGGGACCUAAGACCUUAGAACAUGAAGAGUUAUUAUGCUUCAUUGUUUUAGUUUAUAAAUAAUUUGAAUUGUGGAAGAGAGAGGCAUAUCAAGAAGCUUAAGUUUAAUUUGUGUGAUAAUAUGAUCUGAGCUGUUUAAUUUGUGAGAAGAUUAAGCUAAGCUUUUGGAUCAAAUGUGUAAUAGAUUUGAGAGUAACUAUGUUUGUCCCUCCUUGUGUUAUGAUCUAUUAAAAUGGAUUUCUAUAGUCAUAGCUUGCUCUAUUUCAAUGUGUCUGAAGAUUCAUUCAAUAAAGAAGACAUGAAUAAAGAAUCACAAAAAGGGUAAAAAGAAGCAUAAGAAGAAACAAACAUAUAUAGCAAGUGAGAGAUCAAGAACUGCCAGCAGAAACCAUCAUGAACUCUCCCUCGCAGACCCACAUAAGCUUUACCUUCCAUCUUAGCAAGCCCGAACCGUUUCUGGAACUUGACAAGAGUCAUCCUCAUCACCAACGUUAUAUAUAUUAUUAUUAUUAUUAUUUUAUUUAUUUUAAGGAUCCAAAUCCGGAUCCGGAUAUCCGCCGGAUAUUACAAUUUUUAGAAGGAUAUCCGAUACCCGGAUAUCCGAGAACCCCGGAUCCGGAUAAGGAUAAUAAAAUUAUGGAUCCGCCGGAUAAAGAUCCGGAUCCGGAUACCUUAAAAUUGCCCGGAUAUCCGAUCCGUCUCAGGCCUAACUCGCAACUCGCCAGGUCCACAACUAUUCACGACUCUCUGACAAUGAUGUUUCCUUUUGAUUCAAUAAUCUUAGGGUACAAUAUUCACCAAUCACCAUGAAAGUUGAAACAUAAAUAGCAUAGAUAAACAAUUUUACGACAGUUCUCUUCCAACACUUGAACUGUGCCAGAAAUAAGUUAAUCUAUAUACAACACACAAAAAAACACAAAACCACGAGAGGCCAACACAUAUAUAAUAUACUAUAGUUUUAAAAAUUUGAUAUCAAAGCUCCAAUCUAAUAAAAGAAUCAGCUAAAAACCUUAAAAUUAUAAUUUGGUAUUUACUUUGUAAUCUUACGUGCAUCUAGAGGGAUCCCUGCAUCUAGAGUUCUCCAAACAUAUAAAAACUAUACACAUUAUUUGAUCCCUCUCCAUGAGUCCACCACAUAGAAAGACAAAGUUGUCAAUUGGGACCCUCUAGACCUUACUUUUAAAACGGUCACUACUUUACCGUUAACAGAGACGUUAACUCUCUCACGCGCAGUCACUAGACGUGACACCAUCAUCUUUCGUCACGUGUGCAUCCAAACAAGACCUGAAGACCACUUCCACAUCAGGUCGCGCGUGGCAGCCACUCGUAUUUCGGUGGCUAAAACUCUGCCGUUUCAACCGCUUCUCUUGUCUAAACAAUAUUUUGAAAAAGCUUUUUUUUUUCUUUCAAAAUUAUUUAAGAGAAUACUAUAUUUAAAAUAAUAAUAAUUUUUUGAAAAAUAAUUUUUAUUUAAAAAACCGUAAAAAUAUUUUCCUCAAUAUACAUACUAUCUUCUUCGAUUUGAAUUUUUUUCAAACUCCUAAAUACCGUCAAAAACAUGUAAUUAGACUUAGAUUUUAUGGUCAUAAAUGAAAAUUGUAUAUAUUUAAUAACUUUUUUAAACGACACUUUUUGAAAUAUUAUAAAUUUUCUUAAAAAAAUUUAACUAAAAAUUUUAACUAUACAAUAUUACUUACCAAAGUUAAUUAUAAAAUAACUAAUUCAUUUGUCUCUAAGGUUACUAAAUUGUAGCUAUUUAUCACUUGACAAAAAAAACUAUUUAUCACUAAAUUUAUUUGAAUUAAACACUAAAUAUAUUUAAUUUAGCAUUUAAAUUGAUUUAUAUUUGUCAAUAAGUUAAUUUAAUAACUAAAUUUACUUAAUUUAAGUCAUUUUCAAUCAAAUGGACUUAAUUCAAUUUAUCAACUUAAUUUAAAGAUUCAUAUUUUUCUAAAGAUCAUCCGGUUUGGUUCACAAAGUCACUAUGAGUCUGUAUUUGUUGAUUACAAAAAAAGUUGUAAAAUAUGGUAACUAUUCUCUAUAUAAAUUUUAACAUUUGUUUCAAUUUGAAUAAAAAUUUUACAUAAUGUUUUAAAUUUAAAAAAUUUUGAUUUAUAUAUAACACUUUUUGUUUGAUUUAGUAAAUUUGUAAAAAUAGUUCCAGCAUCGAUUAUAUUAAAACUAUGUAGUAUGUUUAUAUCGAAAAAGUAAAAUAUUUGUUACUUAAUACUAGAAAGUAUUUUAACAACUGAAUUUCAUUUUGUUAUUACAAAUUAAAAUUAGUAAAUUUUAUACUACGUUUAUAAAAAAGUAAAUAGUUUAUUUACAAUUAUCUAAAAUAAUAUCAGAAAAUAAUUUUUUUAUUUAGAAUUUAAAAUCUAGUAUAAUUAAAAUUCAUAAUAUCAAGAUUUGGUAUUUAUUUUUCAAAUUUACAUUCGUCUAGAUAAAUUUUAUUUUUCAUGCUUACAUAUAUUAGCAAAGUAGUCAAUAAUAUUAUAUAUUUUUUAUAUUAAGUGUUGUUUUAACAUUUUUUUGUUAUUUUAAUGUAAUUUUUAGUUUACUAUUAAUUACAAAUAUAUUGAUUUUAUAAAUAAUUUUAUUUAUUUUAAAUAUUUUAGAUCGAAUAUAUAAUUAAUAAGAAUUUAAAUGUAUUUUUUUUUUUAAUUUGUGUAAAAAAUGUGUAAUGAAGUAUUUUGUUGGGACCUUGUAGACUCUACUUUUAAAAACGGUCGCUACUUUCACCGUUAACGGACACGUUAAAUCCGUCAGGCGCCACGUAUGCAUCCAACAAGACCCAUUCCACACAUCAGAUUGCGCGUGGCAUCCACUCAUACCUCGGUGUGGCCAAAACUGUACCGUUUUAACCGCUUCUCUUCUCUUCUCUUGUCUUCUCGCUUCCUCAUCCCUCGGGGGCCUUCGAGUGUCUUCUUCACAAAGAAGCAAGAAAACGGUGGGACCCACAAAACUAGAAUGCACCAACAAACAAGACUUGUCCUAACGUGGAUCACGCCACGUGUAUGGACCCAGCUUCCAGCAUGUCUCUCACAUUCUAGCUAUCCCCACGCGUGUGAACCAAACACGUGUGGUUCAGCGGCCCUCAGGCUCUCUGGUCUAAGGGGAGUGGGCUCGCUCGCUAAAUCAACCAACCAUCUCCACUCGCUUGUGGAAAUGAAAAGGGACCACCGCGAAGACUGAAGAACCGCCACGUGUCCCUCCAUCUCUGCAUCUUCUCUAUAUAACCUCGCACUUGUUCCUCGAUUCAAGAUCACAAACCAAACACACAUAGAGCUUAACGCAAAAGAGAGAGAGAGAGAGAGAGCGAAGAUGUUCAUCGAGAGCUUCAAGGUUGAGAGCCCAAACGUGAAGUACACAGAGAACGAGAUCCAUUCUGUGUACGAUUACGAAACCACGGAGGUCGUCCAUGAGAACCGUAACGGCACUUACCAAUGGGUCGUCAAGCCCAAAACCGUCAAAUACGAUUUCAAAACAGACACUCGCGUCCCCAAGCUAGGGUAAUAAAAGUUCUCGAAUCUUUAACCUUUUGUGUUCUGUAAUUUCCCGACAAGAACUCACUUAACUCACAUUUUCGAUUCAUGACAUUUUUUUUUGGUGAUUAGCGUUAUGCUCGUUGGAUGGGGAGGAAACAAUGGAUCAACCUUAACCGCUGGAGUGAUCGCCAACAAAGAGUGAGUUAAAAAAAAAACACUUUGGUUCGGUUCAAUUCCUCUGUUCCGGUUUACUUCCGGUUAAUAAAGCUUUCUUGCAGAGGGAUCUCGUGGGCGACUAAAGACAAAGUGCAACAAGCAAACUACUUUGGCUCCCUCACUCAAGCUUCUUCGAUCCGGGUGGGAUCUUACAAUGGUGAAGAGAUCUACGCUCCUUUCAAGAGCCUCCUCCCCAUGGUGAACCCUGACGAUGUUGUGUUUGGUGGUUGGGACAUAAGCGACAUGAACUUAGCAGACGCUAUGGCUAGAGCAAGAGUCCUUGACAUUGAUCUCCAGAAACAGCUCAGGCCGUACAUGGAGCACAUGGUCCCACUCCCUGGUAUCUACGACCCUGACUUCAUCGCUGCGAAUCAAGGGUCACGUGCUAAUAGCGUGAUCAAAGGUACCAAGAAAGAACAAGUCGACCAGAUCAUCAAAGACAUGAGGUAGUUGAGACUUGCAUAUAUGCAAAACUGUUAUGUGUUAGUUAGUUUGUGUCAUGAUGAUGUUUGUGUUUCAGGGAGUUUAAGGAGAAGAACAAGGUGGAUAAGCUGGUUGUUCUGUGGACAGCCAACACAGAGCGUUACAGCGAUGUGGUCGUAGGGCUUAACGACACGAUGGAGAAUCUAUUGGCUUCUGUUGAGAAGAACGAGUCUGAGAUCUCGCCUUCUACGCUAUAUGCGAUUGCUUGUGUUCUUGAAGGCAUUCCUUUCAUUAAUGGGAGUCCGCAGAACACGUUUGUUCCUGGACUCAUCGAGCUGGCUAUAUCGAAGAACUGUUUGAUCGGUGGGGAUGACUUCAAGAGUGGUCAGACUAAGAUGAAGUCUGUUUUGGUUGAUUUCCUUGUCGGAGCUGGCAUCAAGGUAAUAAAAAAAAGAUAGCUUGUUCGUCAAGUAAACCUAACUUCUUUGUUUCUUGUUGCUGAAGAAACCUUGUGUGGCUGAUUGUUUGGGCAGCCUACUUCGAUUGUGAGCUAUAAUCAUUUGGGAAACAAUGACGGCAUGAACCUCUCAGCGCCUCAGACUUUUAGAUCUAAGGAGAUCUCAAAGAGCAAUGUUGUUGACGACAUGGUGGCUAGUAACGGUAUCCUCUUUGAGCCUGGUGAACAUCCUGACCAUGUUGUCGUCAUCAAGGUUCGGUUUUGAGUCCAUAGUUAUCAACCUCUCUUUCUUUUGAAUCUUGCUAACGUUUUGAUUUAUGUUGCAGUAUGUUCCUUAUGUUGGGGAUAGUAAGAGAGCCAUGGACGAGUACACCUCGGAGAUAUUCAUGGGAGGGAAGAAUACGAUUGUUAUGCAUAACACUUGUGAGGAUUCUCUUUUGGCUGCUCCAAUCAUCUUGGAUCUUGUUCUUCUCGCUGAGCUCAGCACCAGAAUCCAAUUCAAAGCUGAAGGGGAGGUUUGUGUGUUUUGCUAUUUAGUACCCAACAAUUCACUUGAGAGUUUUUGAGUUUUUAAUGUUUUUUUGGAUCUUCUUAUGUUCCAGGGGAAGUUUCAUUCUUUCCACCCAGUAGCAACCAUACUCAGUUACCUCACAAAGGCACCUCUUGUACCAGCCGGGACACCUGUGGUGAACGCUCUAUCUAAGCAGAGGGCUAUGCUGGAGAACAUCCUCAGGGCCUGCGUUGGGCUUGCGCCAGAGAACAACAUGAUCUUGGAGUACAAGUGAAGGACAAUGAAGAAAAAGAGGGACCUAAGACCUUAGAACAUGAAGAGUUAUUAUGCUUCAUUGUUUUAGUUUAUAAAUAAUUUGAAUUGUGGAAGAGAGAGGCAUAUCAAGAAGCUUAAGUUUAAUUUGUGUGAUAAUAUGAUCUGAGCUGUUUAAUUUGUGAGAAGAUU